Long non-coding RNA from Anguilla anguilla (European eel), 150 nucleotides. RefSeq lists it as uncharacterized. The transcript has 3 exons. NCBI's taxonomy places the organism in Eukaryota, Metazoa, Chordata, Actinopteri, Anguilliformes, Anguillidae. The record is from RefSeq and is a predicted model, not a curated record.
GUUUCACGUUUCAUAUCUGUCUGUGCUUUUAAGAUGGAGUUGGAUCACAGCUUAACGGAGAGUGCCAGAGGAACUUCAGGUAGACACUGCAGUACAUCCAAUAUCAAGCACACAAAGGACGAUUACUGAAGCGUUUUUGAUGAAGUCACA